Molecule: long non-coding RNA, 1804 nt
Filed under: Anas platyrhynchos platyrhynchos (common mallard)
Lineage: Eukaryota; Metazoa; Chordata; Aves; Anseriformes; Anatidae
Description: lncRNA (ENSAPLG00000021915.1)
Source: RNAcentral
AGGAGGUCCAGGGGGGACGUUCUUCGGUCUAAGUUGGAGGUAUGGUGGUGGUGGAUCUCCGUGGGGUUGUAUCUUCAUCCUAAGAUGGUGGUGGACCUCCAUCAGGAUGUAUUUUCGUCCUAAAUUGGAGUGGAUCUGCUGCGACAUCCGCUACCUGGACGUCAGCAUCCUGGGCAAGUUCGCGGUGGUGAUGGCCGACCCGCCCUGGGACAUCCACAUGGAGCUGCCCUACGGCACGCUGACCGACGACGAGAUGCGGCGCCUCAACAUCCCCGUCCUGCAGGACGAGGGCUUCCUCUUCCUCUGGGUCACCGGGAGGUGAGUGGGGGGACACCUCCAGGUCCUCUGUGGGUGGAGGUCCUCUUGGAGGUCCUCCUUGGGUGGAGCUCUUGGAGGUUCUCCUUGGUGGAACUCUUGGAAAUCCUCUUUGGUUGGACCUCUUGGAGGUUCUCCUGGAGGUUCUUUUGGAGGUCUUCCUUGGUUGGGAUCUCUUGGAGGUUCUCUUGGAGAUCCUCUUUGGUUGGAUCUCUUGGAGGUUCUCUUGGAGGUCUUCCUUGGGUGGAACUCUUGGAGGUCAUCUUGGAGGUCCUCCUUGGGUGGAGCUCCUGGAGAUCCUCGUUGGUUGGGCCUCUUGGAGGUUCUCCUGGUUUGGACCUUCUGGAGGUUCUCUUGGAGAUCCUCUUUGAUUGGAUCUCUUGGAGGUUCUCCUUGGUUGAACCUCUUGGAGGUUCUUUUGGAGGUUCUUUUGGAGGUUCUCCUUGGUUGAACCUCUUGGAGGUCAUCUUGGAGGUCUUCCUUGGUUGAACCUCUUGGAGAUCCUCUUUGGUUGGAUCUCUUGGAGGUCAUCUUGGAGGUCCUCCUUGAUUGGCCUCCUAAUUUGGGCCUCCAGGAGGUUCUUUUGGAGAUCCUCCUGGAUUGGACCUCUUGGAGAUCAUCUUGGAGGUCUCCCUUGGUUGGCCUCCAGGAGGUUCUCUUGAAGGUCAACCUGGAUUGGACCUCCUGGAGGUCCUCCUGGAGACCCUUUUUAAUUAACCUCCCUAAUUGGACCUCCAGGAGCUCCUUUUUUAAUUAACCUCCCUAAUUGGACCUCCUGGAGGUCCUCCUGGUGGACCUCCAUGGUUGACCUCCUGGAGGUCCUCCAGGAGCUCCUUUUUAAUUAACCUCCCUAAUUAGACCUCCAGGAGCUCCUUUUUUAAUUAACCUCCUUAGUUAGACCUCCAGGAGCUCCUUUUUAAUUAACCUCCUUAAUUGGACCUCCUGGAGGUCCUCCUGGUGGACCUCCAUGGUUGUCCUACUGGAGGUCCUCCUGGAGUUCCUCUUUAAUUAACCUCCUUAAUUAGACCUCCAGGAGCUCCUUUUUUAAUUAACCUCCUUAAUUGGACCCCCAGGAGGUCCUUUUUUAAUUAACCUCCCUAAUUGGACCUCCAGAAGCUCCUUUUUUAAUUAACCUCCUUAAUUAGACCUCCUGGUGGUCCUCCUGGUGGACCUCCAUUGUUGACCUCCUGGAGGUCCUCUUUAAUUAACCUCCUUAAUUGGACCUCCAGGAGCUCCUUUUUUAAUUAACCUCCUUAAUUAGACUUCCUGGAGGUCCUCCUGGUGGACCUCCAUGGUUGACCUCCUGGAGGUCCUCCUGGAGUUCCUCUUUAAUUAACCUCCCUAAUUAGACCUCCAGGAGCUCCUUUUUUAAUUAACCUCCUUAAUUGGACCUCCAGGAGCUCCUUUUUUAAUUAACCUCCUUAAUUGGACCUCCUGGAGGUCCUCCUGGUGGACCUCCAUCGUUGACCUCCUGGAGUUCCUCUUUAAU